This is an RNA transcript of Papaver somniferum (opium poppy), 2570 nucleotides long. RefSeq lists it as uncharacterized. The record is from RefSeq and is a predicted model, not a curated record. The transcript is spliced from 17 exons. NCBI's taxonomy places the organism in Eukaryota, Viridiplantae, Streptophyta, Magnoliopsida, Ranunculales, Papaveraceae.
CUUGACCCAACUCACUAUAUGAUUUUUCUUUUUAAUUAGAAACCUCCUAUAACUUAUAUGCAGUGGUCUAGCGAAUUUGCCCCUUCGUUUGCGUAUGCAUACUAGUCUUCCUUGGUCUAGUAUACAAAGAAUUUGAAAUUCAUGGUUCUUCAUCUUAAAAUGUUGGUUUCUUUAGUUGUAAGCAAGUAGAUCUGUUUUAUUUUAUAUUUAAGAUUUGUUUCGAGUCAAACAAGACACAUGCUUAACUAUUGGAGUUAGCAAUACAUAAAGUAUUGUUUUGAUAUUUUAAUCACUGAGUUUUGAUUCAAAGAAACUUCUUUCAUUAAAACUCAACUUUUUUUGAAAAUCUUUUCUUGUACCGGAUCAAGAACUUCUUUAGGUUCUGAAGUUUUGUUUUUAACCAGAGGAGAUUUCUUUUAACAAAGAUUGAGCUUUUAAAACAAUCCAUAAGAUAUUUCAGGUAUUUGGACUCUAAAGAUUGAGUUUACAGAUAUGGGUUUAAUUGGACGGUAAAGACUUGCUGAGAAAUGUGUAGUAGCUGGUGUUUGUGGAAUUGCAGUCCUCAUUGUUGUACUCAUACAGAGUUGAAAAAACAUGGUUACGAAUGGAAAUAACGGGCGCAGUGGUGCAAGAAACCCGAAUGCUACAAUGAGGAUUAUUGUGACACUUAUUACUGGAACUGUGUUUGGUUUUUUCAUAGGAGUAUCAUUUAUCAUGCUUGCAAUGACUAAGCAAUUUCCUUCCAGCUUUGCAACCCAAGCGUUGAUUCAAGAUGCUUGGUCUUCUGUAAUGGGUUUAGAUACAAGUAUAACAAACCAAGUCCAAUUGAAUGGUACAACAAAGAUAUGGGCUAUAACGAAUCCUAGAGGUGCAGAAAGACUACCGCCUGGAAUUGUUGCAUCCGAAUCAGAUUUGUAUCUCCGCAGAUUGGUGGGGAAGCCCAGUGAGGAUUUGACUAUUAGGCCGAAGUAUCUUGUAACCUUUACUGUUGGUAUCAAGCAGAAAAGUAAUGUCGACGCAGCAGUUAAAAAGUUUUCAGAAAACUUUACCAUAUUAUUGUUUCACUAUGAUGGUCGAACUACCGAAUGGGAUGAGUUCGAGUGGUCAAAACAAGCUAUUCAUGUCAGUGCUCAGAAACAAACAAAAUGGUGGUAUGCAAAACGAUUUUUACAUCCUGAUAUUGUGGCUCAAUAUGAUUACAUAUUUAUCUGGGAUGAAGACCUGGGAGUUGAAAAUUUCAAUGCCGAAGAAUACAUAAGACUAGUCAAGAAACAUGGUUUGGAAAUCUCACAGCCGGCUUUGCAGCAAAAUGGUAAAUUAAUCUGGCAGAUGACAAGAAGAAGGGAUGACCGAGAAGUACACAAGGAAACAGAAGAGAAGGCGGGAUACUGCGCAGAACCUCAUGUACCACCAUGUGCAGCAUUUCUUGAGAUAAUGGCACCUGUUUUUUCUCGAAAUGCAUGGCGAUGUGUGUGGUAUAUGAUUCAGAAUGAUUUGGUUCACGGGUGGGGUCUUGAUUUUUCCAUGAGGAGAUGCGUAGAGCCUGCUCAUGAGAAAAUGGGAGUUGUAGAUGCUCAAUGGGUUGUUCAUCAAAGUGUUCCAUCACUUGGGGACCAGGGAGAAGCACAAAAUGGGACGACGGCAUGGAGAGCGGUAAGAUUAAGGUGUAGACAAGAAUGGACGACAUUCCAUAAUCGAUUGAAGUCUGCAGAGAAACGUUACUAUAACAGCUUAGGCAUGGAUCCACCUGUGUCCAAAUCUCGUUAUUAUGGAUGAUCCUCGCGAUGAGGAUGACUUCGGCAACUACAGCGUUUUCAGUACCAUUUACACGUAUUUUCUUCCUUUUUCACAUUACAUUCAUUAAUCGAUACAAAAAUACAACUCUCAUAGUCAAAUAGCAGUAGCACACUCCCAGGAGCAUGAGAGUGUCAGUCUCGGUCUCCUAGAGAACUCUCAUAGUCAUAGGAAACUCGGCACAAAUGUAUAACCCACAAAGACAGCAACCAAUACAUCAAAACCAGCGACGAAACCAGAAAUUUCUAUGUGGGAGGGCUAAAAUUUUGUCUAUAAAAGUCCCCAUCCAGGUGGUUUUAGUGUCACACCGUGGAAAUUUCAAAUUGACCCUCAACUUAUAAUCUUAACAGCUACGUAAAGCGAACUUUUAUGUGAUGGAGUUGUCCAUUUUGAUCCCACUAUCGACAAUCAACAAACCCGAGAAAUGGAUGGCAAACGGAUAAAUUUAUUAGUUUGCCCAUUGUGGUCCAUCAAGAGUUGUGCGUCUCUUUAUUGACCAUGCAGUCAAGGAUGCCCCAUGCGGUCCAUAAUCAGCCGUCGACGUCCACACAUCCAUCGCUAGCGGGAAAAUAUUGAAUGUUCACCACAAAUUUAGCUAUAGUUUACUGGAAAUCAACAAAACUUGCUUCCUCCGUUCUUAAAUAAUAGGCUGAUUUCUAUAAAUGAAUGUUUGAAAAAAAUAGGCUGGUUUCCUAAUUGGGAAAGUCAAAUGUUACUAUAGUUUUCUGGGACCACUUUUCUCUUAACUUCUUUUGAUGACAAGUGUUUAUAGACCA